UACGGAGGAUGCGAGCGUUAUCCGGAUUUAUUGGGUUUAAAGGGUGCGUAGGCGGACGCUUAAGUCAGCGGUAAAAUUGCGGGGCUCAACCUCGUCGAGCCGUUGAAACUGGGUGCCUUGAGUGGGCGAGAAGUACGCGGAAUGCGUGGUGCAGCGGUGAAAUGCAUAGAUAUCACGCAGAACUCCGAUUGCGAAGGCAGCGUACCGGCGCCCAACUGACGCUGAAGCACGAAGGCGUGGGUAUCGAACAGG
RNAcentral lists this ribosomal RNA (252 nucleotides) under uncultured bacterium. Its description in RNAcentral is "partial 16S ribosomal RNA". It matches the Rfam family "Bacterial small subunit ribosomal RNA", at positions 524 to 776 of the family's 1533-position model. The record is from RNAcentral.